Molecule: ribosomal RNA, 210 nt
Filed under: uncultured bacterium
Lineage: Bacteria
Description: partial 16S ribosomal RNA
Rfam family: Bacterial small subunit ribosomal RNA
Source: RNAcentral
UACGUAGGGUGCGAGCGUUUGUCCGGAAUUAUUGGGCGUAAAGAGCUUGUAGGUGGUUUGUCGCGUCUGCUGUGAAAUCCGAGGCUCAACCUCGGACUUGCAGUGGGUACGGGCAGACUAGAGUGCGGUAGGGAGACUGGAAUUCCUGGUGUAGCGGUGAAAUGCGCAGAUAUCAGGAGGAACACCGGUGGCGAAGGCGGGUCUCUGGGC